Molecule: long non-coding RNA, 389 nt
Organism: Rhinolophus ferrumequinum (greater horseshoe bat)
Lineage: Eukaryota; Metazoa; Chordata; Mammalia; Chiroptera; Rhinolophidae
Exons: 3
Source: RefSeq, a predicted model, not a curated record
GCGUCCGUCCCGGCAGUGAGGGUAUUUCGGUACCUGGACACCAUCUCCAAGCCUCAGCACAGGGCCUGCCCGCUGCCUCCUGGAAAAGGCACUUAGGGUUUACACAAGUAUGGAAGCAGGCCUGGAUCCAAUAGGACUGGUGCCCUCAUAAGAAGAGGAAGAGACACGGGAGACAUACUCACAGAGGGACGACCACGUAAGGACACAGUGAGAAGGUGACCACCUACAAGCCAAGGAGAUUGGCCUCAGGAGAAACCGACCCUGUGGACACCUUGGUCUCAGACUUCCAGACUCCAGAACUUUGAGCAUCCUUGGAUUUUGACAUCUGCAAGGAUCCUGGAACCAAUCCUCCAUGGACACCAAGGGAUGACUGUAAAAAACACAAAAGG